GGGCAGCGGUGGCUGCAGGUGCUCCUCAUGCUUGACGGAACGGGAGGGGAGUGUCCACAGUGGCCUUCACCUCCGAUCAAGACUGAAGAGAAUGACAAGGAUAAUAAGGAGGUUCGCAUUCCUCAUCUGGAGGAAUUCCACUUGAAAACAUCAACACGACGUGAGGAAUGGAUUCCGUGUGCUCCAGGACCUGUUGGUGCAAGACCUUUCCUGAAUUCUUCGAAACAAAGAAGACCCUUGGGAUUGGGCCAAAGCCCCCAGCCGGUAUCACAUUAUGCUGUCACCAUCUGACCAGUCCUAGGUCUCCAAGCAAAAACAGAAACUUCUAACAGGUAGGAGAGUUCUUGGGGGCUUAGAGAAGGCAUCUCAGGAGCCAUGGGCAAGGGCCAGGCUUACUUUUUGGAGACAUAAAGUUCUUCAUCCCACUGUGGUCUGCAAUGUGCCUAGACUAUGGCUUGCAAAGUUGGGUGUGCGCUUGUGGGACAAUCUCCUCAGCAGAGAUUCGGGGAGUGCCACAGCUCCUGGCGUUCUAGUGGACCUGUGAGGACAGGGUGAGAGUGGGCCUUGUGGCAGUUUACAUUAAGUGAUGGUUGACAUAACAGCAUCAGACCCCUCAAUUCUUAGGGAAAAGAUGACAGAGAAAUGGAUCCUUCAGCUGCUGUUGGUCACAGGCUAUUACAGUGAGUGAUUGACAACCCAGGGAGGCAGAGGGUGGGUUUGUG
RNAcentral lists this long non-coding RNA (722 nucleotides) under Rhinopithecus roxellana (golden snub-nosed monkey). RNAcentral's name for it is "lncRNA (ENSRROG00000046026.1)". The record is from RNAcentral. Lineage: Eukaryota; Metazoa; Chordata; Mammalia; Primates; Cercopithecidae.